GGGCCCGUAGCUCAUCGGUAGAGCACCGUCCUUAUAAGACGGGGGCACUUGGAUCGUCACCAAGCGGGCCCA
Molecule: transfer RNA, 72 nt
Filed under: Candidatus Gottesmanbacteria bacterium
Lineage: Bacteria; Candidatus Gottesmaniibacteriota
Description: tRNA-Ile
Rfam family: tRNA
About the family: Transfer RNA (tRNA) molecules are approximately 80 nucleotides in length. Their secondary structure includes four short double-helical elements and three loops (D, anti-codon, and T loops).
Source: RNAcentral